This 464-nucleotide ribosomal RNA is filed under the name uncultured bacterium. RNAcentral's name for it is "partial 16S ribosomal RNA". It matches the Rfam family "Bacterial small subunit ribosomal RNA", at positions 28 to 523 of the family's 1533-position model. The record is from RNAcentral.
GAUGAACGCUGGCGGCGUGCCUAAUACAUGCAAGUCGAGCGGAAAGGCCCCUUCGGGGGUACUCGAGCGGCGGACGGCUGAGUAACACGUAGGAACGUACCCCAAAGUGAGGGAUAAGCACCAGAAAUGGUGUCUAAUACCGCAUGUGCUCUAAGGAGUAAAGCUUCGGCGCUUUGGGAACGGCCUGCGCAUGAUUAGCUUGUUGGUGAGGUAAUAGCUCACCAAGGCGACGAUCAUUAGCUGGUCUGAGAGGGUGACCGGUCACACUGGGACUGAGAUACGGCCCAGACUCCUACGGGAGGCAGCAGUGGGGAAUAUUGCACAAUGGGCGCAAGCCUGAUGCAGCGACGCCGCGUGAGGGAUGACGGCCUUCGGGUUGUAAACCUCUUUCAGCACCGACGAAGCGCAAGUGACGGUAGGUGCAGAAGAAGGACCGGCCAACUACGUGCCAGCCGCCGCCGUAA